ACAGCCCAAACCCUAGAUCAGAUCCCCCCAUCGCACCCCUCUCCCUGCUCCCAAUCUCCCCGCCGCCGCCGCCUCCUCCCCGUACCCGCGCCCCUCCCGAUCUCGCCGUCCUCUCCCACCCACCGCCGACCUCGCCAUCCUCCUCACCCACCGCCGCCGACCGCGUCCCUCCCUCCCCGCAUCUCCGGGCCUUGCAGCGCGCCGCCCCGAUGCCAAGUCCCUCCUCGCCGUUCCUGCGCCGCCGCUGCUCCAAUCCAACCCCGAUUCGAUUCCGGCCGCCGCCACCCUCUCCUCUACUCUCCUCUACGGACCACUACGAGCGGCGAUGCGCGGAGGGCGCUCGGGGGGAGGCAGUGGGGGGCUGCGGAACCCCUGCCUGACGAUGCACCAGUCAUGGGCAUCGCUGCUGGUGCACGGCACCAAGCGCGUGGAGGGCCGCUCCUGGCCGUCGCCGGUCAUCGGCUGCCCUGGAUCCACGCCGCCUCCAAGGUGCCCGACCCCGACACCGUCGCCGCCAUGGAGGACUUCUACCAGGAGAUCUACGCCAUCGACGGGGUCCACCACAUCGACUUCCCACAGCACUACCCCGUCUCCUGCCUCCUCGGAUGCUUCGAGGUGGUCGGCUGCGUCCGGUCUGCUGGGAGGAUGUGCCUCAAUCAUAGCGGCAUGGGCGAGUUGAGGUGGGGGACAGAGAGGUUGUGUCGUGCGGGUUCUGAUCAAGCUUUAGCAGCACACUUUCUAGUGUUGAUCUGAGCAAAGGAUGAUGCAAGGCUGCUCCUCCUUGUACUGCAUGCCUUCAUUGACUUGAUUCUUUGACAGGGAGAUAUUUAAAGCCUUCACUUGUUCAUUGUGUCAUCUGCUGAUUACUUUUUCUAUUAUUUUCUUGCAAAGCAUGUAAUGGUUUGGAGUAGUUGAUCAUGGCCUGAUGGAACAUUCAUGUUGUUAGAAUGUACAUAUAUACACACACACACACACACACACACACUAUUACAGCAGCUUGUUGAUCAAGCGCUUCUUUCUAUCUAAAUGUGUGCACAGAAGUUCAGUUACCUUCUAAAAAAUUAUUGGUGCACUAUCUAUCUAUAUAUACACACUAUUACAGCAGCUUGUUGAUCAAGCGCUUCUUUCUAUCUAUAUAUAUACACUAUCUAAAUUGUUUGCAACGGCAUUAUGCACAUGAGGCAGGACUAUACAAGUGAAUUGUCACAGUAAGGUCCUUCCAUGGAUUUCAUGUGGCUCCUUGAGUUGUAAGAUGCAGCUCCAACAUUGAAUAUAUUUUGAAUGUUUCCAAAGAUACUCUCUGUUACGUUUACUUCAAUAUAUACAUGCAUGUUACUGAUAGAAGCUGGCUGCAGGAAUCCGUAUACAUAUAUACUCUCUUGUAUAGUACAUUGCUAGAUCACUCACUAGGCAUUAUGUAAUACUACUAGGAGAUAUGGGUGAGGGACUAAAAGGAUGAUACGCUUCCAUGAAUUUAUUUGUAAGAAGUUUUUCUUGGCUAUGUACAAAUCAGCCCAAAUGAAUUUAUGUUCUUUUUUACUUCCAGAGUUAUAGUGCACUCAUAGUGUCAUCACAUUGCGUGUUCUUGCUGCAUAUACCUCUCUAUUUGCUUAGGCAGACAACUACUUAUGUAAUAUGCAAACAACAGCAACAGAGCUAGUGAUGCUAAUUCUACCUCUUGUUACAGAAUCAGAAUUCCUCUUGUUGCACAGGACAACUCCGUUUCCUCUUGUUAUAGAAUCAGAAUUCCUCUGCUUCUUAUGCUACUCUGCUAGAACUCUGCUUUUCUACUUGUCAUAUUGAAUAUACAUGUUCUAAACAUUAUACAGUACUUUCGUUGUUAACUCCAAACAACUUGGGAUCUUCUCUUCUGCAUGCAGAAACUAGCUUACCAGUACACCGCCAAGGGGGCAUGCCUUGCCCUGGUAGCGAAGAGGAGUGGAGCCUGUGGCAGGCCGCCAACCACGCCUUCGAGCUCGGCGCGCCGAACGUGAUCAUUCUCCCCGGGGACGUCGCAUACCCCGACGACUACAACAGAUUUGUUCAGGCCACAAUCGACCACUACGGCCAAUGGCGACCGCGGAAGGCAUGAUGAUAGUUCAUAUUGUCAUUCUGUUAGUCCAGUGUAAUGAAGGUCAUGGCCUAGUCAAGUAUGGUUGCCCAUUGAGUCGUGCAUAUGUUUCAUAUGAUUGGAGCAGGGGCCCAGUUUGUGCCAAUUGUCACUGCAUAUGUUUAACAGUGAUUCUACUUGUAUAAGUGUUAUUACACUAGUAGAAUUUGUACCUGUGCGAUGUCUGGAGCAGGAUCCCAAUAUUUGUAGAGAUUGUAACAUUGAUUGUCACUGUAUACAGAUUGAUUCUGGUUGCUGUUACUUGAAGUAUUCCUUAUGUUUUA
Molecule: non-coding RNA, 2394 nt
Organism: Triticum urartu
Lineage: Eukaryota; Viridiplantae; Streptophyta; Magnoliopsida; Poales; Poaceae
Source: RefSeq, a predicted model, not a curated record